CCUGAACUCGAGUAGGCCCCAAGCAAGCAAGGAAGGAAGGAGGAAGCAGGCAGCAGACCCUCUGCCCAGACCAGACCAUCCAGAACAGCUAUUGCUAGGCAUUAAUAACUAUCACACUAAAAGAAAGAGUACCGGCAAGCAUUCAAAGUUCAUACCUUCAUCUCUAUGACAGUCUGGAGAGCUUUCGUCUUAGCUGGUUCAGGCUGAAGUUGGGUUCUUCUGUGCAGUUCCUGUGGAGGGACACGAUAGAAGUAUAUACAUAGAAAGUUAUUAUUUAUAAGUUACAACAAACAAAAUUUCUAGGCACUAGAAGACAAAUUGAUACAGUCUUACUUACAACUAUUCAGAAAUCUCCAAAAAGACAGAUGUAUACAAUAACAACAAAAAGGAAGGUAUUACGUAAAAUACAACAGACAACGGAAUUCUGGAGAAGAUCAGAAAAUGACUUGCAGUUUAUUAUUCUGCGUAGGUAACCUUUCCAAUCAGAUUCACAUGUUUACAGGCUCCCACAAGGCAUACAUUGUUCUGCAUAUCGUGUGUUCUGUAGAGUUUCUCUUUUCAGAAUUAAGACACACUUGUGGUGUCACAUUUUGUGACUAUAACUUUUUCCAAGAUCUGUCUGAAGGAUAUUUUGAGUUAACAACUGCUAAAAUAAAAAUAUGAAUAUUUUAUAAACUAAGGCCCCCCAAAAGUAUGGGCUUUCCCCCAUAUAUCAACCCAAAUUAACUUGCUUGCUCAGUUGGCUGUAGAUAAUGAGCCAAUUCUUGCUCAUGAUAAAGUACAACAUAUUAUUUCAAAAGGGCUUGUCUUCAGAAUAAGAUGGAUACUAUCUUCUUUGUUGCCUUCUGCCUGACCCAAAAUAAGACCCCUCAUUCAUCAGUCUUGAAAAUUAAGAUUAACAAGAAUAAAGUUCAAUAGGGAUGCUUUGCCUAAAAGGCUGAAUUCACUGUACAUAUAACCCCUCAGUUUAUUCUGUUAGGUUACAGGGUAAUGUAUUUUAAUGUUACAUUCAAUAUGCCAAGUAAAAUGUUCCACCCAUUUUGGACUCUAGUGCAGUUGGAAUUUAAGUUUUCGAAGUUGACUUUUGAAGGCUUAGAACCACAGCAUCCAUAUUUGGAUGACCAUACUGUGAGCUCAGUCUGAAGCCCCACAUCUUUGCAGCUCUUUUAUCCCCAGCCUAAAACUUCACAAUCUAUAGAGAUUUCUGGCCCAAUGCAAUGCUGUUGGGACUCUAGCUAAGUGAGAGAAACUUGGCAAGAGCUAAGAUUUCAAGUCCAUAGCAUAGUGUUCCCUUUAUUUAAUAUUAGUUCUAGCCAUGCCUAGAUUCCCCUAACUCGGUUCUGGCCUUCAAGGUACACUGUGCAAACACAUGUGAUUGCUGUUGUGUAAUGGUGACAGACUUAUACAGAAGUGCACAAAGAUACGAUGAUGCCUCUUGUAUCCUAAUCCAUCACAACUGGUGGCCUCUCUGGAAAUAGUUUUCUUUUUCCCUUGCUCCAACCUUGCUCCAUCCAUGCUCAGGAGUGAAUGGAUUAAAGGAAUAAAAAUGUAACAAGUUGGAAUGCAAAAGCAAUAGCAAUAGCAAUAGCACUUACAUUUAUGUACCGCUUUAUAGCCAGAGCUCUCUAAGCGGUUUACAAUGACAAUGAUUUAGCAUAUUGCCCUCAACAUUCUGGGUACUCAUUUUACCGACCUCGGAAGGAUGGAAGGCUGAAUCAACCUUGAGCCCCUGGUCAGGAUCAAACUUGUAACCUUCUGGUUACAGGGCAGCAGUUUUACCACUGUGCCACCAGGGGCUCAAGUAAUUCAACACUUCCACAAGACAGAUCACUGCAAUGCUUGUGACAAUAAACUGUAUUUCACUAUCAGUAUGAAAAGCCUGGAUGAACUUUAAAAUUUAGCACAACACUAUUUGAACAAUCUGACCAGCUUACCUGGUAAUUACCAAAAAUAUUUGCUUAUGGGUGAAUUUUGUUCAGUCAAAUAUACUACUAUAAAAGCUACAGGGAAAGUACAAGUUCUGCCUGUAUCAUUCAAAUGCCACAUUGCAAGGUUUGUCCCAGACACAUCCCAGAUGGAGGCAAACAAAAAUUUGGUUCCAGAUCAAUGCCAACCCACAGGCAGCUGGAAAAAUUCUAUUAAUAUUGACUACAUAGGACGGGAGUGGAUUCAAGCAUAGUGGCUAUAGCAUUCCUUGCAGAAGUAAAUGCUUUCUAGAACCCAGGGUCAAAGUGACCUUUCCUCUGACUUUGGCAAAGUCUUUAGAAUUAUGUGAAGCUUAAUAGUUCUAGUUUAUGAAAACAUAUUGUGACCCAGUGCAGUCGGAAAAUGAACCAGAGUUCCUGAGUUAGAAGCAAGCCAUGUGUUAUCUCACACUCUCCCCUUUCUCCAAAGUCUUGUGUAAAUUCUCUACCCUCACCUACACUUGUCAGCCAGCCAGGAAAAAGAACCCUUUUUGCUCUUGGGACUGUUGCUGAAAAGGUAAAAAGCAAAGUAAGGAUUAUAGUUGAACACUUCAGGUAAGCAGAUCACCUGUGGACCAACCAAAAUCCAUUGGGUUCCAUCCCUUACCCCAUGAACUUUGCUCUAGACCAGGCCUGCUCAACAUAGGCCCACAAGCUAUUUUUGGACUACAACUCACAUAAUCCCCAGCCAGAAUGGCCAAUAGUCAGGAAUUAUGAGAGUUGUAGGUCAACAUCUGCAGGAGGGCCGAAGUAGAACAGCCCUUCUAGACCAUACUCUGGCACAAUACUCUUCAUUUCUACCCCGAUCCUUUCUACCAGGGAUGGAGCACAUGAUCAAAUGUUACAAACUGAAAUGAACUUGAAGAUACUCCUAAAUUCACUUUGAGAACACUGAAUAAGCUUGAGUUAUCAAGCGGAGUUUAAAAACCUUACACGGUUAACUUUAGCCCAGGAUGUUAAAAGCAACACAUAACAGUAAACCCAGAUAGCGGGGAAAGGGGAAUGUGUGCAUGAAAAGAGAAGUAGAGAAGGAAUAGGCAAUUUUAUGGCCCGCUGCUAUUCCCUAAAUCCUCAUUUAUUUGUACAUCUGCAUUAUGGCCUAUGAGUUCUCCAAAGGUACAAAAUAGCAAAUACAUAAAAACUAUGUAUUUUUACUCACCUGUGAAUAGCUAAGAACACAAUGGUACGGAAGUCUGAAGACUUUUGAUAUGACUAGCCUACAAUAGUGAUGAGCAGAAACUUGGGGAGAGGAGAGACUGAAUAAUAAAUAAAUAAAUCCAGACUGGCUGGAGCCCUGCAGAGGGCUCUCUAGAGACUGGGGAUACAACACCUUGUUGCAGUGCUACAUGUUUGCAUAUAAAUGCUAACUUGGCAAAGAGGCACCUUUAAUGUGGUGAUUCUCUUUUAUUUAGCAGGUGGAGAGUAACUGGCCCUAUCCAUCCCCAGCACAGUACCUCCAGUGACCAUUGCUGGUGUCUAUAUCUUAUGUUUCUUUUUAGAUUGUGAGCCCUUUGGGGACAGGGAUCCAUAUUAUUUAUUUAUUAUUUCUCUGUGUAAAAUGCCCUGAGCCAUUUUUGGAAAGGCGGUAUAGAAAUCAAAUAAAUAAUACAUACAUAAUAAAAUAAAUGUGGCUAUUCCACAAUAGUCCUAUGUCACUCUUUCAACUCUGCAUUCUCAGUAUACGCCUUCACUCCCUAAGCUUUUCUUCAAACUGGAUUCUGACUCAGGCCGCAUUCAGACGUAACGUGUAACUGCAGUUAAUCAUGGCCAAGGUUGUAACUCCUUUAUGCUCAAACGUGCAAAACCACGGUUAUGGGCCGAAAGCUACCUCUGGUUGGCCUCACCAAACUCCGAUUUGAACCUUUGGUUAUCUCUAAGGUUCACUAACCAACACCUGAGGUUUGGAUGCCAAAGUGUUAUGCCCGACUGCUGAUGCAGUUAUAAAUGUGGUUAGGAGCAGAUUUUCAAAUCACGAUCACAGAGGUGAUGGCGCAGACAUGCCUGAGGAUGCGGCUUCUCAAUAUUUUCAGUGCUUCUCACUGGCAGCCUCUCGGAAAAUCAGCCCCACACCUCCUGUCAGCUAUGUAGCUAUAGAGUUGGCACACUACAUCCCACAGACCCCAUCCUGGACUUGUCAGCCUGUCAAGCAGCACAGUUGCUUGGGGCAACCCCAAUUCCACCCUGUACCUUGCUCCCCCCCCCAACCUGGCAAGCAGUAGGGCAAGGAGUUUAAGGUAUAAGAGGCAGACCAAAGCAGGCAACCUGGAUCAGCAAAAUUCCAUUUUUUUCCACAUAUAGGUUGGGGAAGGGUGUGUGUGUUGGGACUGCUGUGUGUUGGAAAGCGGUGAGCAAGGGUACCUCAGAGACUACUUCCCUGAUCCAGAGGACAGCGGCCAAACUGCCGCAAAAACACGCUCACUGAAUGGCCAUCUGCACCUGUGCACAGGUGGACCAUCGCCUACAGCUCUUACAGUCACCCUCACUGCCCUGGGUGGAGGAGGAAAGGAAAGUACCCCUCCCACAAUUCCAUAUGCCCACUUAUCUGCAUACAGUGCACAGAUGAAACGCACCCAGGAGUUUUGAAUUCGUAUAAAUGUACUUCCCAUUGGUCCACUCCAUGGCUGCGCACACGGCCAGGCUAUGGCACACGGAGUGUCAGAAUAUCUUCUUGGGUGCAUGCAAGGUUUCAGAGGGAUUUGGGGAGAGGCAGGUAGUCAAUAAUAUGUUCUAUUUUUUACCAGAGAGAGUUGGGGGCCCCACUUGGGUUCAUUGGCAACUAAGUGGGUGGCUCAAUUCAUGAGCUUGCAGUCCAUGGGUGGGAAUCACCCUUUGCAGGCAUAGCACAGCGGCAUAGCACAGCACCACCAUAUUCCGAAUAGACUAGCCCUCUAAUGAGAGCAUGAGCCCACUGGAAAAGCGGUCAGACAGCAGAUUUGUGAUGGGUCUGGAUGGACCGCUUUGCCGAGGUCACCCCUCGCAACAUCUGGUUAUGUUUGGACAGACAUGGAGAGGAGAGCUGGUCUGUGGAGAGGAGAGCUGGUCUUGUGGUAGCAAGCAUGACUUGUCCCCUUAAGCUAAGCAGGGUCUGCCCUGGUUGCAUAUGAAAGGGAGACUAGAAGUGUGAGCACUGUAAGAUAUUCCCCUCAGGGGAUGGAGCUGCUCUGAGAAGAGCAGAAGGUUUCAAGUUCCCUCCCUGGCUUCUCCAAGAUAGGGCUGAGAGAGAUUCCUGCCUGCAACCUUGGAGAAGCCGCUGCCAGUCUGCGAAGACACUACUGAGCUAGAUAGACCAAUGGUCUGACUCAGUAUGUGGCGACUUCCAAUGUUCCUAUGUUCCUAGACCCCCAGCAUCCUUUGCCCUCCCCUAUUUGCAUAUCCCAUUCUAGCAAAUGUGGAUUUCCCCCUCUUCUCCCGUAAUGAAAGCAGAAUUCAACUGCCCUCCCCCGGGUGGUGUGUAGUGCUUUCAAGGUGCAGGGCUACUUGAAGGGGCAGCAGUGCCAUUGCUGGCAGAAGAAGCAUUGACACUGAAGGGCAUUUAAAGGGCUUUCAAUGCCCCUUUCCUGCUGAGAGCUGGCGAAGUGCUCCAAAAAUGGAUGAUCACUCUCGGCAUGCCCCUUCAAGAUCAUAGCCAAUCUCCACUGCCCUGCUGAUGCAGUGAUGCUUUGUCCACAGUCUGGCUGUGGAGCUGGUUGGGAUCAGCCUCAGAGGCCAAGCAGCAGAAAAGGGCUCCCUUCUCCUGCUACUGGAGUUUGGCAGUUUCGUGAUUGUGCGCAGAGUGAUUUUGAGUUUUAAAGUGAAACCCUGGCCAUGAUUAACUGCGGUUAUCCAUUAUGUCUGAAUGCAUCCUCAAAGUAAAUUUCAGUUCCCUCACAAUCAAAACAAUUGUCAGCUAGGGAUGCUCUCCCUCCAGCUCCCACUGCCAAAAGAAACUGAAUUUGGAAUAUUCCAGUCAAAUACUUGUAAAACCUUGAGUGUUUGAUGUUAAUACUCAAAAAAACACUAUUAAUUUUUUUUGCCACAAUUCUCUAACCCAUCCCUGACAAUCUCUCCCAUACUUUCCUGAAGCCACAAAAGCCUUUCCUUUGGGAAGGGUUAGGUUAGGGCAUAAUGGGCAGUAGAGUGCUCCAUUCUAGACAGGAAAGGUUGCAUAAGGCCUCUCUUUAGCUGCAAAUGAUGUACAAAAAAUUGUUUCCUGCUGUGGAAUCAUGGGGCUUGGUAUUCCCUAACUACAAGCAUAAGUAGAUUAAUUCACAUUUUGCUUCCUCCCAUUUUAAUGAGGUCUUUAUGUGUUCUUCAGAUAGGUGUGCUUAAAACUCACAUGGAUCUCUAGCAUACUAUGAUUUCAAACUAUACAGCUCAAUAGCUACACAGGGCUCACAAACUGAUAGUUAAAUACAAGACCAUGAUUACCUCAAGAUUUGCAAUUUCUUUCUAUAAUAUUUUGGGUUACCAGCUAGGCUAAAUAAAUCUAAAUUAUCUUCAUGACGAAUAUAGGUACCUUAACAUAUGGGAGGGAAAACAAGAUGGGAUAAUGAUACUCUAUGCCAACAAUAUCACAGAUAAGUAUUUUUAAAGGGUAAUGUUUCGAUAAACAGUCAGAAAUAUCUUUUUGAGCUUCUUGGCUUAAGUUAAUUUGUAGGCAAUUGAUUGUGAUUGGUUUAUUAUUUAAAGCACCUGGAGAUAUUUAUAUAGGGGAAAACAGACAAUAUUAUGUAUCACUGCUAAAGAGAAUUGUGAUCUGCAAGAGAAAUAUUUUUGCGGGAUACGGGUGUAUGUGUACAGAAUAUCCUGAAAUAAAGAAUUAUCUAAAUAACAUCAGCCUCUUUAAAGCUUAAUGUUUAUAUGUAUAGAAAUAUGUUACUGAAAACCACAUUAAUUAUAACUCCAGGUUGUUCAGUUUUUUAAAUAAUUUAUGGAAUGAGUUUGGCAAAGGACAAGCUAGUAUUGUUCCUAGGUUGAUAUUCCAAGAACAGCAAAACAGAAGAGACUUGUCCUAGUGUAAUGCAACCUUUCAAUGGAAGAUAAUUCUGUUCAUUAAUGGCAUAUCAAGGAUCAUCCCCCCCCCGCAAAAAUAAAUGAAUCAGCUUCCUUAUUUACUUAAUUAAACUGCUAUGAUGUUCUUAAUAAUAAUAACAUAAUAAUAAUAAAUAUUAAUAUAAUGAUAAUUUUAUUAUUAUUACACUAUUUAAUAGUAACAAUAUUUAAUAAUAUAGU
Molecule: long non-coding RNA, 7175 nt
Organism: Hemicordylus capensis (graceful crag lizard)
Lineage: Eukaryota; Metazoa; Chordata; Lepidosauria; Squamata; Cordylidae
Exons: 4
Source: RefSeq, a predicted model, not a curated record